GCCCUGCCGCUGCUCCCUACCGCGGUACCGCCGGUACCGCGGCUGUGUGGACUGUCAGACUCCUCGGCCCCAGAGUCCUGAAGAGACGGAUCCUUUUGUGGUGCUUCUCCGAAAAGCUCGAGAAAAUCCUUUCCAAAGAUGUCCACGCUGUGCUCGAUGAGGUACUCCACCAGCUGGGGCACUUGCUCCGAUAUCUGCAAACAAGAUCCAGUCAUCUUUUUAUCACAAGAAUGAAAAACAGAAGUGCAUCCACCCCCAAGUCUCACAAAACUGGCAGGGCCAUGGAAGUUUAGGUAGUGUUCAAUAGAAUUCAUAAUAAAGAGAAGAGGGAUGCAUCUACAAGAAAACUUUAAA
Molecule: long non-coding RNA, 354 nt
Organism: Ixodes scapularis (black-legged tick)
Lineage: Eukaryota; Metazoa; Arthropoda; Arachnida; Ixodida; Ixodidae
Exons: 2
Source: RefSeq, a predicted model, not a curated record